UGGGGAAUAUUGGACAAUGGGCGAAAGCCUGAUCCAGCCAUGCCGCGUGUGUGAAGAAGGCCUUUUGGUUGUAAAGCACUUUAAGUGGGGAGGAAAAGCUUAUGGUUAAUACCCAUAAGCCCUGACGUUACCCGCAGAAUAAGCACCGGCUAACUCUGUGCCAGCAGCCGCGGUAAUACAGAGGGUGCAAGCGUUAAUCGGAAUUACUGGGCGUAAAGCGCGCGUAGGUGGUUAUUUAAGUCAGAUGUGAAAGCCCCGGGCUUAACCUGGGAACUGCAUCUGAUACUGGAUAACUAGAGUAGGUGAGAGGGGAGUAGAAUUCCAGGUGUAGCGGUGAAAUGCGUAGAGAUCUGGAGGAAUACCGAUGGCGAAGGCAGCUCCCUGGCAUCAUACUGACACUGAGGUGCGAAAGCGUGGGUAGCAAACAGGAUUAGAUACCCUGGUAGUCCACGCCGUAAACGAUGUCUACCAGUCGUUGGGUCUUUUAAAGACUUAGUGACGCAGUUAACGCAAUAAGUAGACCGCCUGGGGAGUACGGCCGCAAGGUUA
This 549-nucleotide ribosomal RNA is filed under the name uncultured bacterium. Its description in RNAcentral is "bacterial SSU rRNA". It matches the Rfam family "Bacterial small subunit ribosomal RNA", at positions 355 to 896 of the family's 1533-position model. The record is from RNAcentral.